GCUUCCUGUUAAGCCUGUGGAACUCUAGUGGACAUCUGAAACCCUAAAACAUCUCAUCUGUGCAAAAAAGAGGAAUGAGCCAGGUCGGGAGAGUGAGAAGCUCGCACCACUUCGAAAGCGUCUGCCUGGAUGCUGAAGUUCGGGUUGUUCUUGUAGCUCUGGAUCACGCAGGACUUCACACCUUGUCCUCCGCACUCAAUGAGAGCCUGAGGCCGAUCCACAGAGAGGAGCUGCACCUUCUUCAUUUCCCGAACUCCCCAGAAGAGAACCUGAGGAAAAGACCAGCAGAGCCAUCACCACAGAUCCACGGAGGAGCCCCACACCUGCCCUGGCUCUGUGUGGAAAAGUUAGACCUGCUCCCUGAGAACCACGCUGUGUUCCUCCAGGAAAGAACUGCACAGCUUUUUGAGGGCUCAUUCUUUUUCUCUAGGUCUCCCGCCCAUUCCAUAUCACCUCUCCUACAAUUCAGGUGGGGCCACUGCCCUUGAGUGCCAAAGAACAACUCAGCUCCUCCGCUGACCCGUACCUCCACUCGGUAUUUGCUCAGCACCGGCCGAAUGUUGGCAGGAACCGGGUAGAUCUGGGUGAUGUCUGGUGGCUCAACGGGUGGGAGGCCUUGCAGCCCAGAAGGAGGAACCUACCGCACAAGGCAAGUAUGAGUUAGAUGCUGGAGAGACACAGGGAAGGCAACAGUGCCACACAACCACCUCAUCAGUAAGAUGUUCACUGUUUUGCCAACAAAAGUAAUGUUUCCAGCUUAAAAUACAAGGACCAUGCAUUUUACCAUAUUUAAUUAUUUAUUAAUUGAUAAAUGCAGUCAUUUACAAGGGUAACCAACAUUUAGCGAGCACUUAAGAUGUACCACAAGGCUAAUAACACAGAGCUCACAGUAUAGAGGGGAGAGAGAAAAACAAAUACGGAAGAUGGUCUUUACAACUUAAUAAAAUUACACAAGAACCACAGCAGGGUAGUGGAGAAGGAGCUUCUAUCAGUUUCCAAACAUUUGAGUCUUAAUGAUCCCCACUCCCUUCGGACUUGUCAAGAUCUCCAGAAAAGCCAUUAUGCACUACUACUGCUACUAAUACUAAUACUACUACUACAAUAAAAGGAUGUACAUUUAAUCCAACAGAGACUGCAUCCUAAUCAGUGAAGCAGAAAAUGAAAUGUUUUGAAGGCAGAUGAAAACUUGUCUCUUCUUGUGCACUUGGGGUUAAUGAAACUUCAGGACAAUUUCAGCUUUGCUGAAAUUUCACACAAAGGACUUACAGAGUUCUACUGAGAAAAGGGUCUUUUUCACUGUGUAGGCCAUCCCACACUGCCCUCAAAACCUGGUUCGACACAUACAUCUUUCAAGAAGGUUUCCCCAAAGAAAACAAAAAAUAAAAGAAGCUUUUUCUGACCCUGUCCCAGCUGCUUCUACCAUUCAAUGCCUUUUGAAUGCAACAUGUCCUUUAUGCAGAUUUUGUGCAGAAAUAGAGGACUGAGUCCAGAAAUAAGGCUCUGCUGUGUGACCCUGCACAAGUAAAUUUCCAUCUCUGAGCCUCAGAUAUUGGGCCAGAUGACCCAUCAAGCUCCUUGGGAAUCAUAUGUUCUAUUAAACAUUGCUUUGGAGCAGGUGGUUCUCCUUACUGGGGCUGUUUGUCUGCCUGAACAAUUUACAGGGACUUGGCCAAUAGGAAGUCUUUAUUUACUUCAUUCUCCAAGCCCCUCCAUGUACAGUGAGUUCUUGAUAGAUGUUUACCGGUUGACUGACAUAUUAGUCCACAUGCUCCGUGUGCUAGAAAAAGCCUAACUGUGCAUCAAAAUCUGCAAAAUGCAAAUAUAUCACCAUUCUGUUUUCACAGACAUAUUCUCGUUGGCAACAGCAGAUGUGGUUAAGCUAAUUACAAGAAAGCUCAGAAAAAGGAGAGCAGACACUGCAAAUGCGCAAUAGGCUUAAGGUAAUGAAGCUGCAGGAUACACCAGCCCAGAUCAAGAAGCUGGUAAAUAAUGAGGAUGGCAAUGCCCAAUACUGCCUGGCAGUGAUGAGGUGAGCAAUUUAGCCUGCGAGCAUCACCUCACUGGGAAAGUUAAUAGCCCCCCAGGCUUUAAAGGGAAAGCCACGAAACAGCUGUGAUGGUGGCAUAGGAGGGGCUGCCUCUAGAUGUGCUUUUUAAAAAGCAUCAUAUGUUUUAUCCUGGGGCUCCUGAAGUGUCUUGGGAAAUGGCCAAAGAAGUUUUGCUUUGUAAGUGCCUGAAAAAUGCUGUUAAGAGCUCAACACAGCCCUUAAAGAAUCCUAUA
Long non-coding RNA from Homo sapiens (human), 2280 nucleotides. Ensembl annotates it as FER1L6 antisense RNA 2. Its record names the gene FER1L6-AS2. The record is from Ensembl. Lineage: Eukaryota; Metazoa; Chordata; Mammalia; Primates; Hominidae.